Hyla sarda is the source of this 524-nucleotide long non-coding RNA. RefSeq lists it as uncharacterized. Lineage: Eukaryota; Metazoa; Chordata; Amphibia; Anura; Hylidae. The record is from RefSeq and is a predicted model, not a curated record. The transcript is spliced from 3 exons.
AAAAAAAGCUAUGACAUCUUGUCCACCACAGACUCAGAACAUGGCCAACAGUGGACAACAGUAGAAGAAUACACUCUGAACUAAAGAACUUCCUGCCCAACAAACAGGUACAAUUAUACAACUCUCUGCAAAAGAAGACGCAGGCAAAUGGAACGACAUCGAAAAAUAUGCAACAUCUAAAAAGGUUUUAAUGUUACUGAUCAGACAACAUUCCACAAUGGCAGCCUUAACCCUGCGCUGACAGAAGACCCUGAAGCACUCUGCCUUUGUGCUCGCAAUGAUGAGGCUAACCAACAAGAGCAGCCAAAUGAAGUGUGAAGCAUAUCCCUUCAAGCAAUGAAGUGAUCAUUCAAAGUCACAUUUCAAUGUGACAAAAUAUGGGAAAUUGGUAAUGUUUACAGGAGGUGCAUUAAAUUAUAAACGUAAACUUUGACAGAGACAUACACAUAUACUUCCUACCAUAUACUACUACCAAUCCCAUCUUUCAGAUGCUGACAAUGGAGACUACAUGUUGUUUAGGGUGU